Molecule: ribosomal RNA, 200 nt
Filed under: uncultured bacterium
Lineage: Bacteria
Description: partial 16S ribosomal RNA
Rfam family: Bacterial small subunit ribosomal RNA
Source: RNAcentral
UACGAAGGGGGCAAGCGUUGUUCGGAAUUACUGGGCGUAAAGAGCGCGUAGGCGGAUCAGACAGUCAGAGGUGAAAUCCCGGGGCUCAACCCCGGAACUGCCUUUGAUACUUCUGGUCUAGAGUUCGUGAGGGGAUGGUGGAAUACCCAGUGUAGAGGUGAAAUUCGUAGAUAUUGGGUGGAACACCGGUGGCGAAGGCG